This 112-nucleotide non-coding RNA is filed under the name Planococcus sp. PAMC 21323. Its description in RNAcentral is "SAM riboswitch aptamer (S box leader)". It matches the Rfam family "SAM riboswitch aptamer (S box leader)". From Rfam's summary of the family: The SAM riboswitch is found upstream of a number of genes which code for proteins involved in methionine or cysteine biosynthesis in Gram-positive bacteria. The SAM riboswitch acts at the level of transcription termination control. RNAcentral also lists the same sequence under 1 other name. The record is from Rfam by way of RNAcentral. Lineage: Bacteria; Bacillati; Bacillota; Bacilli; Caryophanales; Caryophanaceae.
CUCUUAUUCCGAGCUGGUGGAGGGGACAGGCCCUAAGAAACCCGGCAACCUGCUGCAUUUGUAGCGUUGGUGCCAAACCUGAACAAGGUGAACAAGCCUUGGAUGAUAAGAG